This 497-nucleotide ribosomal RNA is filed under the name uncultured bacterium. Its description in RNAcentral is "partial 16S ribosomal RNA". It matches the Rfam family "Bacterial small subunit ribosomal RNA", at positions 28 to 507 of the family's 1533-position model. The record is from RNAcentral.
GAUGAACGCUGGCGGCGUGCCUAAUACAUGCAAGUCGAGCGAACGGACGAGAAGCUUGCUUUUCUGAUGUUAGCGGCGGACGGGUGAGUAACACGUGGAUAACCUACCUAUAAGACUGGGAUAACUUCGGGAAACCGGAGCUAAUACCGGAUAAUAUUUUGAACCGCAUGGUUCAAAAGUGAAAGACGGUCUUGCUGUCACUUAUAGAUGGAUCCGCGCUGCAUUAGCUAGUUGGUAAGGUAACGGCUUACCAAGGCAACGAUGCAUAGCCGACCUGAGAGGGGGAUCGGCCACACGGGAACUGAGACACGGUCCAGACUCCUACGGGAGGCAGCAGUAGGGAAUCUUCCGCAAUGGGCGAAAGCCUGACGGAGCAACGCCGCGUGAGUGAUGAAGGUCUUCGGAUCGUAAAACUCUGUUACUAGGGAAGAACAUAUGUGUAAGUAACUGUGCACAUCUUGACGGUACCUAAUCAGAAAGCCACGGCUAACUACGUG